GACGAACGCUGGCGGCGUGCUUAACACAUGCAAGUCGAACGGUCGGCACUGGAAGGUUCGCUGGAAGGUGCCGGUAGUGGCGGACGGGUGAGUAACGCGUGAGGACAUGGCUCCAGGAGGGGGAUAACGUUUGGAAACGGACGCUAAGACCCCAUAUGCCGGAAGGUGAAAAUGGCGCAAGCCAGCCUGGAGAGUGACUCGCGUCCUAUCAGCUAGUUGGUGGGGUGAAGGCCUACCAAGGCGAUGACGGGUAGCCGACCUGAGAGGGUGGCCGGCCACACUGGAACUGAGAUACGGUCCAGACUCCUACGGGAGGCAGCAGUGGGGAAUAUUGGGCAAUGGGCGAAAGCCUGACCCAGCGACGCCGCGUGGGGGAAGAAGUCUUUCGGGAUGUAAACCCUUGUUGUACGGGACGAAAACAAUGACGGUACCGUACGAGGAAGCCCCGGCAAACUACGUG
RNAcentral lists this ribosomal RNA (460 nucleotides) under uncultured bacterium. Its description in RNAcentral is "bacterial SSU rRNA". It matches the Rfam family "Bacterial small subunit ribosomal RNA", at positions 28 to 507 of the family's 1533-position model. The record is from RNAcentral.